RNAcentral lists this ribosomal RNA (790 nucleotides) under uncultured Staphylococcus sp. RNAcentral describes it as "bacterial SSU rRNA". It matches the Rfam family "Bacterial small subunit ribosomal RNA", at positions 129 to 905 of the family's 1533-position model. Lineage: Bacteria; Bacillati; Bacillota; Bacilli; Caryophanales; Staphylococcaceae. The record is from RNAcentral.
CCUAUAAGACUGGGAUAACUUCGGGAAACCGGGGCUAAUGCCGGAUAAUAUUUAGAACCGCAUGGUUCUAAAGUGAAAGAUGGUUUUGCUAUCACUUAUAGAUGGACCCGCGCCGUAUUAGCUAGUUGGUGGGGUAAUGGCUCACCAAGGCAACGAUACGUAGCCGACCUGAGAGGGUGAUCGGCCACACUGGAACAGAGACACGGUCCAGACUCCUACGGGAGGCAGCAGUAGGGAAUCUUCCGCAAUGGGCGAAAGCCUGACGGAGCAACGCCGCGUGAGUGAUGAAGGUCUUCGGAUCGUAAAACUCUGUUAUUAGGGAAGAACAAAUGUGUAAGUAACUGUGCACGUCUUGACGGUACCUAAUCAGAAGGCCACGGCUAACUACGUGCCAGCAGCCGCGGUAAUACGUAGGUGGCAAGCGUUAUCCGGAAUUAUUGGGCGUAAAGCGCGCGUAGGCGGUUUCUUAAGUCUGAUGUGAAAGCCCACGGCUCAACCGUGGAGGGUCAUUGGAAACUGGGAAACUUGAGUGCAGAAGAGGAAAGUGGAAUUCCAUGUGUAGCGGUGAAAUGCGCAGAGAUAUGGAGGAACACCAGUGGCGAAGGCGACUUUCUGGUCUGUAACUGACGCUGAUGUGCGAAAGCGUGGGGAUCAAACAGGAUUAGAUACCCUGGUAGUCCACGCCGUAAACGAUGAGUGCUAAGUGUUAGGGGGUUUCCGCCCCUUAGUGCUGCAGCUAACGCAUUAAGCACUCCGCCUGGGGAGUACGACCGCAAGGUUGAAACUCAAA